UGAUAUACUCGAUCGCAGGGU
This 21-nucleotide non-coding RNA is filed under the name Arabidopsis thaliana (thale cress). The record is from RNAcentral. Lineage: Eukaryota; Viridiplantae; Streptophyta; Magnoliopsida; Brassicales; Brassicaceae.